This 30-nucleotide non-coding RNA is filed under the name Mus musculus (house mouse). Lineage: Eukaryota; Metazoa; Chordata; Mammalia; Rodentia; Muridae. The record is from RNAcentral.
UACAUAGUGAGUUCGAGAAUAGUCAAACCU